GCCGGGAUGCGGAAACUGGUAGACCGGGCGCUCUCAAAAGGCGCUGCCCGAAAGGGCGUGAGGGUUCGAGUCCCUCUCCCGGCA
Molecule: transfer RNA, 84 nt
Filed under: Actinomycetota bacterium
Lineage: Bacteria; Bacillati; Actinomycetota
Description: tRNA-Leu
Rfam family: tRNA
About the family: Transfer RNA (tRNA) molecules are approximately 80 nucleotides in length. Their secondary structure includes four short double-helical elements and three loops (D, anti-codon, and T loops).
Source: RNAcentral